UGGGGAAUAUUGCACAAUGGGCGCAAGCCUGAUGCAGCGACGCCGCGUGGGGGAUGAAGGCCUUCGGGUUGUAAACUCCUUUCGCUAGGGACGAAGCGUAAGUGACGGUACCUGGAGAAGAAGCACCGGCUAACUACGUGCCAGCAGCCGCGGUAAUACGUAGGGUGCGAGCGUUGUCCGGAAUUACUGGGCGUAAAGAGCUCGUAGGUGGUUUGUCGCGUCGUUUGUGUAAGUCCACAGCUUAACUGUGGGACUGCAGGCGAUACGGGCAUAACUUGAGUGCUGUAGGGGAGACUGGAAUUCCUGGUGUAGCGGUGGAAUGCGCAGAUAUCAGGAGGAACACCGAUGGCGAAGGCAGGUCUCUGGGCAGUAACUGACGCUGAGGAGCGAAAGCAUGGGGAGCGAACAGG
This 410-nucleotide ribosomal RNA is filed under the name uncultured Corynebacterium sp. Its description in RNAcentral is "bacterial SSU rRNA". It matches the Rfam family "Bacterial small subunit ribosomal RNA", at positions 355 to 776 of the family's 1533-position model. Lineage: Bacteria; Bacillati; Actinomycetota; Actinomycetes; Mycobacteriales; Corynebacteriaceae. The record is from RNAcentral.